GACGAACGCUGGCGGCGUGCUUAACACAUGCAAGUCGAACGGAAAGGCCCUGCUUUUGUGGGGUGCUCGAGUGGCGAACGGGUGAGUAACACGUGAGUAACCUGCCCUUGACUUUGGGAUAACUUCAGGAAACUGGGGCUAAUACCGGAUAGGAGCUCCUGCUGCAUGGUGGGGGUUGGAAAGUUUCGGCGGUUGGGGAUGGACUCGCGGCUUAUCAGCUUGUUGGUGGGGUAGUGGCUUACCAAGGCUUUGACGGGUAGCCGGCCUGAGAGGGUGACCGGCCACAUUGGGCCUGAGGUACGGCCCAGACUCCAACGGGAGGCAGCAGUGGGGAAUAUUGCACAGUGGGCGGAAGCCUGAUGCAGCAACGCCGCGUGCGGGAUGACGGCCUUCGGGUUGUAAACCGCUUUCGCCUGUGACGAAGCGUGAGUGACGGUAAUGGGUAAAGAAGCACCGGCUAACUACGUG
RNAcentral lists this ribosomal RNA (468 nucleotides) under uncultured bacterium. Its description in RNAcentral is "partial 16S ribosomal RNA". It matches the Rfam family "Bacterial small subunit ribosomal RNA", at positions 28 to 507 of the family's 1533-position model. The record is from RNAcentral.